RNAcentral lists this small nucleolar RNA (107 nucleotides) under Brassica napus (rape). RNAcentral's name for it is "Plant small nucleolar RNA R71". It matches the Rfam family "Plant small nucleolar RNA R71". Rfam says of the family: R71 is a member of the C/D box family of snoRNAs containing the C (UGAUGA) and D (CUGA) box motifs. The record is from Rfam by way of RNAcentral. Lineage: Eukaryota; Viridiplantae; Streptophyta; Magnoliopsida; Brassicales; Brassicaceae.
AAUCCAUGGUGAGGGCAUUCUCUGUGGUAGUCAUUGAAGCGCUCCCAUGCAUCGUAGAAAAGCUCACCAGUGAGCUGUUUGAAGGAGGUGAUCUUGUUCCUCAAUGC